UCCAUACGAACCUACACUCAA
RNAcentral lists this non-coding RNA (21 nucleotides) under Caenorhabditis elegans. Lineage: Eukaryota; Metazoa; Nematoda; Chromadorea; Rhabditida; Rhabditidae. The record is from RNAcentral.